Molecule: long non-coding RNA, 1958 nt
Filed under: Octopus sinensis (East Asian common octopus)
Lineage: Eukaryota; Metazoa; Mollusca; Cephalopoda; Octopoda; Octopodidae
Description: uncharacterized LOC118761733, transcript variant X2
Source: RNAcentral
UAUUCCUAAAGGAUGUCGUUGAACUAACAACAGUUCCCUAAGUAUACGGGUGGAAAAGAGUGGAGGAGGGGACGAGAUCGGGGGCGAUAGACAAUGGCCCAGUCCAUCUAGUAACAAGACUACUACAACGGGAAGGGACAGUUCGUUGCUUAUAGCAGUGAGAUCUGUAUAUAAUUGACCAGCGACGAUGUGCUCAAAGCUUCCAUGGCUACAGUUAAUUUGGAGAUGGUUGAUUCCAAAUUAGCUGUUGUGCGCUGGGUACACGAACACGAUAUCCUCAAUUAAUACCUAGCAACCCUAAUUGGUUAUGGGGACUCCUCAUCUGUAUGUGCGUGUUUGUCUAAAACCCCAAUCAGUCUCAAAGGAUCAGAGCUUGAUUCUGGUUACUUGACAUUUAGCUUUGACAUAUUUUCAUCACAGUCUGUGUACAACGAACUAAAUCAGGAAGAUAUAGAAGUAUAUAUAACACAGUACAAGGAAAUACCCGUUCUCAAUUCGAACUCAAUGUUAGUAGGUGUAAACCUCGUAAUUCUGUCCGCUACUACACAUAUACAGAGAAGACACGUAGGCCGAAAGAGCAAUGGCUAUUUUAUUAAAAGUUUUAGUAUAAAUUUUGUGAUCGUUUGUGUUUCAUUAAACGCAACAAAAUAACUCAGUACUGCUUAGGAGGAUCAUAUUGAGCCAAAUUUUCUUAGAGAACCCAAUAUCAGUGCUUUAGGCACAAAACCUCGUAGGAAAUAAGAGUAUGUGACAUGGAAAUGGUUACAACUGCGAAUCGAAAUAGUUGUUACCACCAGCAGACAUUCUUAAGAUUCUAGCAAAGAUUAUACAUAUAUAAAAAAAGAGAGAGAGAACUUUUGGUGAGACAACAGUGCAUACAUACAAGAAAUAAAUAGGCCAUGGGAACGUACGAUAUAUAUAUUAAUAUUAUAUUAGAUUAGAUAAUUGUAGACAUAAAUAUACCCUCGUGUAUAAACUUUUUUCGUAAGGUCGUACUAAUCCAGAACUUCAUGUAGCAUAUUCAGUUUUAGAUUCUUCCGCCUCUCAUGGAGCAUCGGGUGACGCGAGAUAUCUUCUAACCUAGCAAGGUUGCAAACCCUCGCUAUGAAUUCCCACCCUGCCUGUCAAUGGAAGGUAUUUUUAAUAUUCCACUCCUACACAAAGUUUAGAGAUGGUGAAACCACUCGUUAAUAAGUAUCAGUAAAUAUUGCACAUUGCGGUUUUCAAAGAAGAGCGCCAUUCUAUCGAUCCAUUCUAUCGAUCCAGCCAACAUCGAUAAACGAUUACUUAGGUCAAUUCAACCAAAUAUCUAUCUAUCUAUCUAUCUUUCUCUCUCUCUUUCUAUAUAUAUAUAUAUAUAUAUAUAUAUAUGUAUGUAUGUAUGUAUAUAUACACCCACGCCUUCUUCCUGGUAGUGCCCCAGUUUGGCCGCAGCCCAAUGACUGAAGCGAAUAACAAGAUGUUGCUUUCUGUAGCGUGGAAAUAAAUAAACGUUAAAUUUUGGGAUCAAGGACGAAAAAUCCAGGAUCAUGUUAAAAGAAGACGAAACGAAAUGUGUUGGACCAAGAUGAUUAAUGCAGCGGUGACUGACUCAAAGUGCUAUAGAUCAGAUUUGCAUCGAACGGAACUUAUUUUCAACCAAAAGGUAAAGUGUAACUAGAGCAAAUCACUUGAAAAUAAGCUUAAAAUGCAUUGAUAAAGCAUUCUCCCUCCUGUUAAAUGAAGGGACUUCACGGACACAACAGAUACUCACCAGAUAAGCCAAAUCUGUAACGUAGGGUUUCGAUUCCCAGCUGCUGAAGUCAUUUAUUUUCACUUCAAUCAAGAAGCUUAAUAAUUUUACCCUUGGCCAAUCACUGCACGAAUGUCAUACAGUUCUCUCACUACACAACUACUAAACUUCUGUAAUUAAUGAAGUUGUGGCUUUUGUAUUUAAAUAAAUCAUAAUGAUAAUUGUU